GGCCUAAUCAUGCAAGUCGAACGCACUCUCGUUUAGAUUGAAGGAGCUUGCUCCUGAUUGAUAAACAUUUGAGUGAGUGGCGGACGGGUGAGUAACACGUGGGUAACCUGCCCUAAAGUGGGGGAUAACAUUUGGAAACAGAUGCUAAUACCGCAUAAAACCUAACACCGCAUGGUGUAGGGUUGAAAGAUGGUUUCGGCUAUCACUUUAGGAUGGACCCGCGGUGCAUUAGUUAGUUGGUGAGGUAAAGGCUCACCAAGACCGUGAUGCAUAGCCGACCUGAGAGGGUAAUCGGCCACACUGGGACUGAGACACGGCCCAGACUCCUACGGGAGGCAGCAGUAGGGAAUCUUCCACAAUGGACGAAAGUCUGAUGGAGCAACGCCGCGUGAGUGAAGAAGGUUUUCGGAUCGUAAAACUCUGUUGUUGGAGAAGAAUGUAUCUGAUAGUAACUGAUCAGGUAGUGACGGUAUCCAACCAGAAAGCCACGGCUAACUACGUGCCAGCAGCCGCGGUAAUACGUAGGUGGCAAGCGUUGUCCGGAUUUAUUGGGCGUAAAGCGAGCGCAGGCGGUUUCUUAAGUCUGAUGUGAAAGCCUUCGGCUCAACCGAAGAAGUGCAUCGGAAACUGGGAAACUUGAGUGCAGAAGAGGACAGUGGAACUCCAUGUGUAGCGGUGAAAUGCGUAGAUAUAUGGAAGAACACCAGUGGCGAAGGCGGCUGUCUGGUCUGUAACUGACGCUGAGGCUCGAAAGCAUGGGUAGCAAACAGGAUUAGAUACCCUGGUAGUCCAUGCCGUAAACGAUGAGUGCUAGGUGUUGGAGGGUUUCCGCCCUUCAGUGCCGCAGCUAACGCAUUAAGCACUCCGCCUGGGGAGUACGACCGCAAGGUUGAAACUCAAAGGAAUUGACGGGGGCCCGCACAAGCGGUGGAGCAUGUGGUUUAAUUCGAAGCAACGCGAAGAACCUUACCAGGUCUUGACAUCCUUUGACCACUCUAGAGAUAGAGCUUUCCCUUCGGGGACAAAGUGACAGGUGGUGCAUGGUUGUCGUCAGCUCGUGUCGUGAAAUGUUGGGUUAAGUCCCGCAACGAGCGCAACCCUUAUUACUAGUUGCCAGCAUUUAGUUGGGCAUCUAGUG
This 1138-nucleotide ribosomal RNA is filed under the name Latilactobacillus sakei. RNAcentral's name for it is "bacterial SSU rRNA". It matches the Rfam family "Bacterial small subunit ribosomal RNA", at positions 45 to 1145 of the family's 1533-position model. Lineage: Bacteria; Bacillati; Bacillota; Bacilli; Lactobacillales; Lactobacillaceae. The record is from RNAcentral.